This 253-nucleotide ribosomal RNA is filed under the name uncultured bacterium. RNAcentral describes it as "partial 16S ribosomal RNA". It matches the Rfam family "Bacterial small subunit ribosomal RNA", at positions 524 to 776 of the family's 1533-position model. The record is from RNAcentral.
UACGGAGGGUGCGAGCGUUAUCCGGAAUUACUGGGUUUAAAGGGUGCGUAGGCGGCUUGGUAAGUCAGGAGUGAAAGUUUGCGGCUCAACCGUAAAAUUGCUUUUGAUACUGCCAGGCUAGAAUCAGGAUGAGGUCAGCGGAAUGUGGCAUGUAGCGGUGAAAUGCAUAGAUAUGCCAUAGAACACCUAUUGCGAAGGCAGCUGGCUAGACCUGUAUUGACGCUGAGGCACGAAAGCGUGGGGAGCGAACCGG